RNAcentral lists this non-coding RNA (95 nucleotides) under Halalkalibacter krulwichiae. RNAcentral's name for it is "Bacillus krulwichiae c-di-GMP sequence". It matches the Rfam family "c-di-GMP-I riboswitch aptamer". From Rfam's summary of the family: GEMM was predicted in a large-scale screen for bacterial structured RNA regulatory elements. The record is from Rfam by way of RNAcentral. Lineage: Bacteria; Bacillati; Bacillota; Bacilli; Caryophanales; Bacillaceae.
AUGCGAAAAAGGCAAAGUCUGUGAAAGCAGAUGACGCAAAGCUAUAGGGGCUUCAUUGGCCAAUGAAUUGGUCAUUAUGCCAGCCAGCUACCGAG